CCCUUAGAUGUUCUGGGCCGCACGCGUGCUACACUGAGUGGAUCAGCGGGUCAGGUUGCGCGAAAGUGUUUCCUAAUCUUGAAAUCCGCUCGUGAUGGGGAUUGACGGUUGCAAUUUUCCGUCAUGAACGAGGAAUACCUUGUAAGCGCGGGUCAUCAUCCCGCGCUGAAUACGUCCCUGCCCUUUGUACACACCGCCCGUCGCUCCUACCGAUUGAGUGGUCCGGUGAGGCUUUGGGAUCUGAGCCAAGAGAGCGUUUCGCUCGUUUUGCCCGGAAAACUCAGUCGAACCUUAUCAUUUAGAGGAAGGAGAAGUCGUAACA
Molecule: ribosomal RNA, 322 nt
Filed under: uncultured eukaryote
Lineage: Eukaryota
Description: partial 18S ribosomal RNA
Rfam family: Eukaryotic small subunit ribosomal RNA
Source: RNAcentral